GUACUGCUGAAGAGUCCUAAACUAGGACGAAACAGAUUUCCAGUAC
Molecule: non-coding RNA, 46 nt
Organism: Trichobilharzia regenti
Lineage: Eukaryota; Metazoa; Platyhelminthes; Trematoda; Strigeidida; Schistosomatidae
Source: Rfam